This 485-nucleotide ribosomal RNA is filed under the name uncultured bacterium. Its description in RNAcentral is "partial 16S ribosomal RNA". It matches the Rfam family "Bacterial small subunit ribosomal RNA", at positions 29 to 523 of the family's 1533-position model. The record is from RNAcentral.
AGUGAACGCUGGCGGCGUGCUUAACACAUGCAAGUCGAACGAGAACGGAUUAUAGCUUGCUAUAAUUGUCAGCUAAGUGGCGCACGGGUGAGUAAUGUAUAGAUAACCUGCCCUCUAGAAAGGAAUAACAGUUGGAAACGACUGCUAAUGCCCUAUAUGCUUUUAAUACAUAAGUAUGCAAGGGAAACGCUUUAGUGCUAGAGGAUGGGUCUGUACGGUAUCAGAUAGUUGGUGAGGUAAUGGCUCACCAAGGCUAUGACGCCUAACUGGUUUGAGAGGAUGAUCAGUCACACUGGAACUGAGACACGGUCCAGACUCCUACGGGAGGCAGCAGUGGGGAAUAUUGCACAAUGGACGAAAGUCUGAUGCAGCAACGCCGCGUGGAGGAUGACACAUUUCGGUGCGUAAACUCCUUUUAUAUAGGAAGAUAAUGACGGUACUAUAUGAAUAAGCACCGGCUAACUCCGUGCCAGCCGCCGCGGUAA